AGCGAGGAAAGAAAUCAACAGAGAUUGCCUCAGUAACGGCGAGUGAAGCGGCAACAGCUCAAAUUUGAAAUCUGGCCCUUUCAGGGUCCGAGUUGUAAUUUGCAGAGGGUGCUUUGGCAUUGGUUGCAGCCUAAGUUCCUUGGAACAGGACGUCGCAGAGGGUGAGAAUCCCGUAUGUGGCCGCCAGCCUUUGCCGUGUAAAGCCCCUUCGACGAGUCGAGUUGUUUGGGAAUGCAGCUCUAAAUGGGAGGUAAAUUUCUCCUAAAGCUAAAUACCGGCCAGAGACCGAUAGCGCACAAGUAGAGUGAUCGAAAGAUGAAAAGCACUUUGGAAAGAGAGUCAAAAAGCACGUGAAAUUGUUGAAAGGGAAGCGCUUGCAGCCAGACGUGCCUGCGGUCGUUCAUCCGGGCUUCUGCCCGGUGCACUCCUCCGCAGGCAGGCCAGCAUCAGUUUCGGUGGCCGGACAAAUGCCUGCUAAACGUACCUCCCCCGGGAGGACUUAUAGGGUAGGCGGCAUACGGCCAGCCUGGACUGAGGUCCGCGCUUCGGCGAGGAUGCUGGCGUAAUGGUGGCAAGCGGCCCGUCUUGAAACACGGACCAAGGAGUCUAACAUCUAUGCGAGUGUUUGGGUGUCAAGCCCGAGCGCGCAAUGAAAGUGAACGGAGGUGAGAUCCCUUGCGGGUGCAUCAUCGACCGAUCCUGAUGUCUUCGGAUGGAUUUGAGUAAGAGCAUAGCUGUUGGGACCCGAAAGAUGGUGAACUAAGCUUGAAUAGGGUGAAGCCAGAGGAAACUCUGGUGGAGGCUCGCAGCGGUUCUGACGUGCAAAUCGAUCGUCAAAUUUGGGCUUAGGGGCGAAAGACUAAUCGAACCAUCUAGAAGCUGGU
Molecule: ribosomal RNA, 884 nt
Filed under: Pleopunctum guizhouense
Lineage: Eukaryota; Fungi; Ascomycota; Dothideomycetes; Pleosporales; Phaeoseptaceae
Description: Pleopunctum sp. NGL-2023a partial large subunit ribosomal RNA
Rfam family: Eukaryotic large subunit ribosomal RNA
Source: RNAcentral